AGUGAACGCUGGCGGUAGGCCUAACACAUGCAAGUCGAACGGCAGCACAGUAAGAGCUUGCUCUUACGGGUGGCGAGUGGCGGACGGGUGAGGAAUACAUCGGAAUCUACUUUUUCAUGGGGGAUAACGUAGGGAAACUUACGCUAAUACCGCAUACGACCUACGGGUGAAAGCAGGGGAUCUUCGGACCUUGCGCGAUUGAAUGAGCCGAUGUCGGAUUAGCUAGUUGGCGGGGUAAAGGCCCACCAAGGCGACGAUCCGUAGCUGGUCUGAGAGGAUGAUCAGCCACACUGGAACUGAGACACGGUCCAGACUCCUACGGGAGGCAGCAGUGGGGAAUAUUGGACAAUGGGCGCAAGCCUGGUCCAGCCAUACCGCGUGGGUGAAGAAGGCCUUCGGGUUGUAAAGCCCUUUUGUUGGGAAAGAAAAGCAGCAGGUUAAUACCCCGCUGUUCUGACGGUACCCAAAGAAUAAGCACCGGCUAACUUCGUG
RNAcentral lists this ribosomal RNA (492 nucleotides) under uncultured bacterium. RNAcentral's name for it is "partial 16S ribosomal RNA". It matches the Rfam family "Bacterial small subunit ribosomal RNA", at positions 29 to 507 of the family's 1533-position model. The record is from RNAcentral.